RNAcentral lists this ribosomal RNA (442 nucleotides) under Pilodius pilumnoides. RNAcentral describes it as "partial 16S ribosomal RNA". The stretch from base 322 to 442 matches the Rfam family "Bacterial large subunit ribosomal RNA", at positions 2473 to 2594 of the family's 2925-position model. The record is from RNAcentral. Lineage: Eukaryota; Metazoa; Arthropoda; Malacostraca; Decapoda; Xanthidae.
AAAGGUAGCAUAAUCAUUAGGAGUUUAAUUGGAACCUGGAAUGAAGGGUCGGACAAAGGAGAAACUGUCUGUGAAACUAAGUUUGAAGUUUACCUUUAAGUGAAAAGGCUUAAAUAAAUCAAAGGGACGAUAAGACCCUAUAAAGCUUUAUAUGUAAUUUAAGUUUGAUUGAUUUAGGUGAUAAAAAUUAAAUUUAAUUAUUUUAUUUUGUUGGGGUGAUGUGAGUAUAAUUUAAAUUAACUGCUUAAAAAAAAUUCUUUUAUAAAAGGUUUAUAAAAUAAAUGAUCCUUUUUAAAGAUUAAAAGACUAAGUUACUUUAGGGAUAACAGCGUUAUUUCUUUUGAGAGUUCAUAUCGAAAAAGAAGAUUGCGACCUCGAUGUUGAAUUAAAAUAUCUAUAUAGUGCAGCCGUUAUAAAAGAGGGUCUGUUCGACCUUUAAAUU